Long non-coding RNA from Hordeum vulgare subsp. vulgare (domesticated barley), 239 nucleotides. RefSeq lists it as uncharacterized. The transcript is spliced from 2 exons. Lineage: Eukaryota; Viridiplantae; Streptophyta; Magnoliopsida; Poales; Poaceae. The record is from RefSeq and is a predicted model, not a curated record.
AAGAAUCAAGGAAGCAUGGAAGUUAUACUACGAUAAGUCGAGGGUUCAGAUUGAAAACUACGAACUCGAGAUCAUUGACGCCCCAAAACAGGCUGUAAGGAGUGUGCACUGUGGCUUCUACAUGCUGGAAUAUCUUGAUAAGUGGGAUGGUGUAAAUGUGCCUCGAAUUCGGAAAGAGGACAUCCAAAAAAUAAAGAAGAUAACAGCCAACAAAUGGCUCAACGCUCCUUUCAACAAAA